UGAGGAAUAUUGGUCAAUGGUCGGGAGACUGAACCAGCCAAGCCGCGUGAGGGAUGAAGGUACGAAGUAUCGUAAACCUCUUUUGUCAGGGAACAAAAGCGGGCCUGGGGGCCCGUCUGAGUGUACCUGAAGAAAAAGCAGCGGCUAACUCCGUGCCAGCAGCCGCGGUAAUACGGAGGAUGCGAGCGUUAUCCGGAUUUAUUGGGUUUAAAGGGUGCGUAGGCGGUGGAUUAAGUCAGCGGUAAAAGACCGGGGCUCAACCCCGGCAAGCCGUUGAAACUGGUCUGCUGGAGUUGGAGAGAAGUAUGCGGAACGCGCGGUGUAGCGGUGAAAUGCAUAGAUAUCGCGCAGAACUCCGAUUGCGAAGGCAGCAUACCGGCUCCACACUGACGCUGAGGCACGAAAGCGUGGGUAUCGAACAGG
RNAcentral lists this ribosomal RNA (423 nucleotides) under uncultured bacterium. RNAcentral describes it as "bacterial SSU rRNA". It matches the Rfam family "Bacterial small subunit ribosomal RNA", at positions 355 to 776 of the family's 1533-position model. The record is from RNAcentral.